RNAcentral lists this non-coding RNA (37 nucleotides) under Trypanosoma brucei brucei. Lineage: Eukaryota; Euglenozoa; Kinetoplastea; Trypanosomatida; Trypanosomatidae. The record is from RNAcentral.
AUACGCAUAUUAGACGAGUGUAAAAGUAAGUGAUUAU